UACGGGGGGAGCAAGCGUUGUUCGGAUUUACUGGGCGUAAAGGGCGCGUAGGCGGCGUGACAAGUCACUUGUGAAAUCUCCGGGCUUAACUCGGAACGGUCAAGUGAUACUGUCGUGCUAGAGUACAGAAGGGGCAACUGGAAUUCUCGGUGUAGCGGUGAAGUGCGUAGAUAUCGAGAGGAACACCUGCGGCGAAGGCGGGUUGCUGGGCUGAUACUGACGCUGAGACGCGAAAGCGUGGGGAGCGAACAGG
This 253-nucleotide ribosomal RNA is filed under the name uncultured bacterium. RNAcentral describes it as "partial 16S ribosomal RNA". It matches the Rfam family "Bacterial small subunit ribosomal RNA", at positions 524 to 776 of the family's 1533-position model. The record is from RNAcentral.